GGGGAUGGCACAACAUGGCUGUAAUCCCAGCACUUGGGAGGCUGAGGCAGGAGGAUCAAAGGUUAAAGUCUGCCUGUGCUGCAUAGUAAGACCUUGUCUCCAAAGAUAAAGUUAAUGAAGAUGACAAUGUUUAAAGAGUCAGUUGCAUUAUUAUUACUGUUAUUAUUAUUAUUUCAGAUGAUAGUGGUGGUGACUGUGAUGGCGGCCUUGUUUUCCCGGGGGAGGGGGGUGCUUUGGUCAGUAACAGUAAUAACAGCUGUGCACUUGGACAGUUCAGCAGUUGAGAAUGUAUGAGCAUUCAGUAGAAUGCCAGGGUGUGGUUGGGCAGGAAAUGACAGAAGUUAUCACCAUUCAGACUAUCUCUACUGCUUGUUAAGAUUUGAUUUCUCUCUUUCUCUCUUUUGGUUGUUAAUAUUGUAAGGUUUACUUCUCAGUAUCAUUUGGUGGCUUUUUUUUUUUUUUUUUAGUGGUCAAAUGAGUGAAUCAACAUCUCAAGAUCAGUCCAAGCCUGACCAGGACAAUGGAAAAGAAGACAGGGAACAGCAGCAGGACUCCUCAAAGGACAAAAAGGACAGAAAGGACGAAAAGAAUGAAAAGGACUUAAAGGAAACAAAGGAGGAAAAGGACAAAAAGGAAGAAAAGAACAAAAAGGACAAAAAGAAGGAAAAGGACAAACAGGACACAAAGGAGGAAGAGGACACAAAGGAGGAAGAGGACACAAAGGAGGAAGAGGAUAAAGAGGGCGAAAAGGAGGUAGAGCCCCCGAGUAAUCAGAUAACAGUAUGACCGAGUAAGCUGACUGCAUAACUUCUUAUGAAGAAGGAAAAGUGUGGAUGGUCAAAAUGAGAGGGCAAGGGCAAAGUGCAAAUCCAGGUUGAUUAUUAAGCUGAUGG
RNAcentral lists this long non-coding RNA (893 nucleotides) under Mus spicilegus (steppe mouse). RNAcentral's name for it is "lncRNA (ENSMSIG00000025584.1)". The record is from RNAcentral. Lineage: Eukaryota; Metazoa; Chordata; Mammalia; Rodentia; Muridae.